AACGAACGCUGGCGGCGUGCCUAACACAUGCAAGUCGUGCGAGAAAGUUCCUUCGGGAGCGAGUAAAGCGGCGCACGGGCGAGUAACACGUAGGUAACCUGCCCCCCAGUCUGGAACAACUAGAGGAAACUCUAGCUAAUGCCGGAUGAGACCACGAUCCCUUCGGGGGUUGCGGCCAAAGAUGGCCUCUACUUGUAAGCUAUCGCUGAGGGAUGGGCCUGCGGGCCAUUAGCUUGUUGGUGAGGUAACGGCUCACCAAGGCUGUGAUGGCUAGCUGGUCUGAGAGGAUGACCAGCCACACUGGGACUGAGACACGGCCCAGACUCCUACGGGAGGCAGCAGUGGGGAAUAUUGCGCAAUGGGCGAAAGCCUGACGCAGCGACGCCGCGUGGGUGAUGAAGGCCUCGGUCGUAA
Molecule: ribosomal RNA, 414 nt
Filed under: uncultured bacterium
Lineage: Bacteria
Description: bacterial SSU rRNA
Rfam family: Bacterial small subunit ribosomal RNA
Source: RNAcentral